This 1217-nucleotide ribosomal RNA is filed under the name Leuconostoc mesenteroides. RNAcentral describes it as "bacterial SSU rRNA". It matches the Rfam family "Bacterial small subunit ribosomal RNA", at positions 246 to 1457 of the family's 1533-position model. The record is from RNAcentral. Lineage: Bacteria; Bacillati; Bacillota; Bacilli; Lactobacillales; Lactobacillaceae.
UAGUGGGGGGUAAAGGCCUACCAAGACAAUGAUGCAUAGCCGAGUUGAAAGACUGAUCGGCCACAUUGGGACUGAGACACGGCCCAAACUCCUACGGGAGGCUGCAGUAGGGAAUCUUCCACAAUGGGCGAAAGCCUGAUGGAGCAACGCCGCGUGUGUGAUGAAGGCUUUCGGGUCGUAAAGCACUGUUGUAUGGGAAGAACAGCUAGAAUAGGAAAUGAUUUUAGUUUGACGGUACCAUACCAGAAAGGGACGGCUAAAUACGUGCCAGCAGCCGCGGUAAUACGUAUGUCCCGAGCGUUAUCCGGAUUUAUUGGGCGUAAAGCGAGCGCAGACGGUUUAUUAAGUCUGAUGUGAAAGCCCGGAGCUCAACUCCGGAAUGGCAUUGGAAACUGGUUAACUUGAGUGCAGUAGAGGUAAGUGGAACUCCAUGUGUAGCGGUGGAAUGCGUAGAUAUAUGGAAGAACACCAGUGGCGAAGGCGGCUUACUGGACUGCAACUGACGUUGAGGCUCGAAAGUGUGGGUAGCAAACAGGAUUAGAUACCCUGGUAGUCCACACCGUAAACGAUGAACACUAGGUGUUAGGAGGUUUCCGCCUCUUAGUGCCGAAGCUAACGCAUUAAGUGUUCCGCCUGGGGAGUACGACCGCAAGGUUGAAACUCAAAGGAAUUGACGGGGACCCGCACAAGCGGUGGAGCAUGUGGUUUAAUUCGAAGCAACGCGAAGAACCUUACCAGGUCUUGACAUCCUUUGAAGCUUUUAGAGAUAGAAGUGUUCUCUUCGGAGACAAAGUGACAGGUGGUGCAUGGUCGUCGUCAGCUCGUGUCGUGAGAUGUUGGGUUAAGUCCCGCAACGAGCGCAACCCUUAUUGUUAGUUGCCAGCAUUCAGAUGGGCACUCUAGCGAGACUGCCGGUGACAAACCGGAGGAAGGCGGGGACGACGUCAGAUCAUCAUGCCCCUUAUGACCUGGGCUACACACGUGCUACAAUGGCGUAUACAACGAGUUGCCAACCCGCGAGGGUGAGCUAAUCUCUUAAAGUACGUCUCAGUUCGGAUUGUAGUCUGCAACUCGACUACAUGAAGUCGGAAUCGCUAGUAAUCGCGGAUCAGCACGCCGCGGUGAAUACGUUCCCGGGUCUUGUACACACCGCCCGUCACACCAUGGGAGUUUGUAAUGCCCAAAGCCGGUGGCCUAACCUUUAGGAAGGAGCCGUC